RNAcentral lists this ribosomal RNA (532 nucleotides) under uncultured bacterium. RNAcentral's name for it is "bacterial SSU rRNA". It matches the Rfam family "Bacterial small subunit ribosomal RNA", at positions 38 to 518 of the family's 1533-position model. The record is from RNAcentral.
GGCGGCAUGCCUAAGACAUGCAAGUCGAACGGGAUGGCCCAUAGAAGCGGAAAUAAUUGGAGUGCUGCACAAAGAAGGAAAGAAGUGGAAGUGGAAAAUCCAUCCAGUGGCAAACGGGUGAGUAACACGUGGGUCACCUACCUCUAAGACGGGGACAACAGUUGGAAACGAUUGCUAAUACCGGAUGUGUUCUACGGAAUAAAGGGAGCCUAUAAAGCUCCGCUUAGAGAUGGGCCUGCGGUGCAUUAGAUAGUUGGUGGGGUAAGAGCCUACCAAGUCGACGAUGCAUAGCCGAACUGAGAGGUUAAACGGCCACACUGGGACUGAGACACGGCCCAGACUCCUACGGGAGACAGCAGUUAGGAAUAUUCGUCAAUGGGGGGAACCCUGAACGAGCAAUGCCGCGUGAAGGAAAGAAGGUCCUAUGGAUUGUAAACUUCUGUUGUAAGGGAAGAACGAUAUAUAUAGGAAAUGAUAUAUAAGUGACGGUACCUUAUAAGAAAGCCACGGCUAACUACGUGCCAGCAGCGGC